Non-coding RNA from Podarcis lilfordi (Lilford's wall lizard), 69 nucleotides. The record is from the annotation of a GenBank genome assembly. NCBI's taxonomy places the organism in Eukaryota, Metazoa, Chordata, Lepidosauria, Squamata, Lacertidae.
GUUUGUACUCAGUGGUAGCGCAUCUGCUUUGUAUGCAGAAGGUCCCAAGUUCAAUCCCUGGCAUCUCCA